UCGCAGCCAAAAAGGAAGGACACAUCACAGACACAAUUCGAUUUUUUCAAAAAUACAAGGGGGCACCUGUGUGUUUUCCCUCCCCCCAACCUACCGGCACCUAUGCAGCACGGUGUCACUGGAAACCUGAAAUCUUGUAGUCUAUUAUUUUUUCUUGUUCGUAGUUCUGAUCCAUUGUAGGUUACUACCCCAGAAUUUGCCUGGGGCGAAUGAGUAGAAUUACAAAACUCUUAGUCAGGAUAGCCGACCUACUCGCCAAGACUGAGCCGAGCCCCUGCGAAGUUCGGUAGCUGUUAUCAAGUAAUUAUUUGAAAUUGUGAAGUGAAGCUUAAUGAUGGAUCAAAGAAUUGAUUUAAUUCUUUGAUCUAAACAUUUAACGCUGACUUAUGAAUUUGUCUUAUGAACAGAAUUGUAUGAUCCAGUGAUAUUUGUUGAAUAAUAAGUGAUGUGCAACAGGAUGCUACAAUAAAGGAGUAAUUAAUUGUAUGAAAUA
Long non-coding RNA from Cryptotermes secundus, 493 nucleotides. RefSeq lists it as uncharacterized. The record is from RefSeq and is a predicted model, not a curated record. NCBI's taxonomy places the organism in Eukaryota, Metazoa, Arthropoda, Insecta, Blattodea, Kalotermitidae. The transcript is spliced from 2 exons.